GACAGAGGGGGCAAGCGUUGCUCGGAAUCACUGGGCGUAAAGGGCGCGUAGGCGGGAUGGCAAGUCGGUCGUGAAAUCCUUCGGCUCAACCGAAGAACGUCGGCCGAUACUGCCGUGCUUGAGGACUGGAGAGGAGACUGGAAUUUACGGUGUAGCGGUGAAAUGCGUAGAUAUCGUAAGGAAGACCAGUGGCGAAGGCGGGUCUCUGGACAGUUACUGACACUGAGGCACGAAGGCCAGGGGAGCAAACGGG
This 253-nucleotide ribosomal RNA is filed under the name uncultured bacterium. RNAcentral describes it as "partial 16S ribosomal RNA". It matches the Rfam family "Bacterial small subunit ribosomal RNA", at positions 524 to 776 of the family's 1533-position model. The record is from RNAcentral.